GAAUGAACGAGUACUUCUCUGCCAUAUUUGCAUUAAAGCGUGAAGGAAAGUGGAGGUUCUAACUCGGCAAUAAUCAAAAGAUUCUAGAAUAAUCUAGAGAUCUCGUAAUUCCAUAAUGAGAGCAAAGUGGCGAAAGAAGAGAAUGCGUAGGCUAAAACGCAAAAGGAGGAAGAUGCGUGCAAGGUCUAAGUAAAUUUUGCACCUAUAACCUCUCUGUAAAAGUAACAUCAUCAUUCAGAUCAACUUGAAUAAGGUUAUUUCAAAAAUUAAUGUAAUGUUUCUCGCACAGAGAGUCUUCUUUUAUUAAUGUACGUAUCUUAUACGCUUUAAUAAACUGAUCAUUU
This is a long non-coding RNA of Habropoda laboriosa, 344 nucleotides long. RefSeq lists it as uncharacterized. The record is from RefSeq and is a predicted model, not a curated record. The transcript is spliced from 3 exons. Lineage: Eukaryota; Metazoa; Arthropoda; Insecta; Hymenoptera; Apidae.